This is a long non-coding RNA of Mustela putorius furo (domestic ferret), 1615 nucleotides long. NCBI's taxonomy places the organism in Eukaryota, Metazoa, Chordata, Mammalia, Carnivora, Mustelidae. The record is from Ensembl.
CUUCACACAGUCCUCAUGCAUUCUAAGGAGCAGAUAAUUUUAUUCUCAUUAGAUGACUGUAGCAUUUUCUUCUUUAGCAUGAGAAUUUUGAUAUUUCUCCAAGAUAUGUCUACCUCUAGUUCAUUUUAUCCAACCUGCUUGCAAACAUUUUUAAUCUGAUAACCUCUGUCUCUGGAAGAUUUAGUGCGAUGAUGGCCCAAGUUCUGCGCACCUGCCCACAUGCAACCCCUUUGGUUCUCCAGGCUGGCCAUGUCAUUUGCUUUGGCCCAUGGACACGAGCAAAGGAGAAGUACGUAGAGACUUGAAAAAGCUCUGUGCUUUGGAAAUUACACUCCUACUGCCCCUAGAAAUCCUGCCCAGAUAAUAAGCCAAAGUUAGCCGGAUGAAGGAACAAGUGGCUCCAGGAUUCCUGUCAUACAGCCAACGGUCAGUGAUAUAGUGAGUCGUCUCCUAUCAGCUAAUCCUGCGGCAAUCUUCGAGCGGACCCGAGUCCCAUGAGCUCUUGCAGGUGAAAGAGCCACACCUUGUCCAGACUCAAAGAAGCAACCAGCAAAUCCGCACCACUUCUACAAAAUAAACAGCUGCUGUUUUAGGCCACUCGGCUUUGCAGUUCUGUGUUGCAUGCCCAAGGUUAACUGAUACAUCGUGUUUCUUACAGUCUUUCAGUACUGUAUUCUCUGCCUUUGACUGAAUUCCUCUUACGUUCAUGAGAGGGUGGCUCUCUCGACUCUACCCUUCAUUUCCAUAACCUUUUCUGCGUCGCAGUCCCUUGUCUUUCCGCUCUAAGUGUUGGGAUUUCAUAUGCAAUUUAACUUGAGGAGAAAAACGAGCCUACACUUCUACCAGUUGGCCCAAUAAAUUUUUAAUUAGGUAACCAUAUUUUUAAUUUCCUGGAAAUUUCUUGCUCUCUGCUUCUUUUUCGUAACAGCCUGUUACAGAUAGAACAUCCUCUCAAAUUCUGCUAAGGGUACUAAUUAGACUUCUUUUUAAAGUCUCCUGUACUCCCUAGAAGAAGACUUAAAUCUUCUGGUAUCGGCUACUCUUUUUGUUCAUCUAAAUAUAGUUUUUCCUUAAAUAUCAAAUGAUCCUUGAUUGUCAGCUUAUUUUUCUAAAUGAAAAAUGAUGCCAGUGGGUAUCCACAGUCUUUCACGUACGCGGUGAAAUACAUUAUCCCAAAAGGCCUCUCCCUAGACUGAAACGGAUGUCAACAGUCAGAAUGUUCUGCAGAACAGCAAGUAGGCGUGGUGGUAACCCCCACAAUGUUUUAUGAAUUUCACUACUGAACACAUUUUCUACUUUUUCUCUAACGUUCAAUGUGAGGUUUCAUUGUGGGAAAAAAAAAAUCCACAAUCUGCUUCAUUAUUUUAAUGUUCCCUUAGGAGAAAAGAGAAUUAGGCUAGUGUGUUUCAUCUGUUGAUUCCAACCAACUCUCAACAAUUACUUUCACCCUUGACCUCUUUUUAGGUUCUUGUUUAUUAGCUUCCUUGCGUCAUAAAAUGCCUGAUGCUAACAACAGAAUUAUUUUCGAUGGAAUGUAUUUUGAGAAUGCUACAUGUAAAAAAAUGAUAUAUUUAUAAUAAUUAAAGAUUCUAAUACAGACAUUUUAUAGGAAAAC